GAUGAACGCUGGCGGCGUGCCUAAUACAUGCAAGUCGAGCGAGCGGACGAGAAGCUUGCUUCUCUGAUGUUAGCGGCGGACGGGUGAGUAACACGUGGAUAACCUACCUAUAAGACUGGGAUAACUUCGGGAAACCGGAGCUAGUACCGGAUAAUAUUUUGAACCGCAUGGUUCAAAAGUGAAAGACGGUCUUGCUGUCACUUAUAGAUGGAUCCGCGCUGCAUUAGCUAGUUGGUAAGGUAACGGCUUACCAAGGCAACGAUGCAUAGCCGACCUGAGAGGGUGAUCGGCCACACUGGAACUGAGACACGGUCCAGACUCCUACGGGAGGCAGCAGUAGGGAAUCUUCCGCAAUGGGCGAAAGCCUGACGGAGCAACGCCGCGUGAGUGAUGAAGGUCUUCGGAUCGUAAAACUCUGUUAUUAGGGAAGAACAUAUGUGUAAGUAACUGUGCACAUCUUGACGGUACCUAAUCAGAAAGCCACGGCUAACUACGUG
RNAcentral lists this ribosomal RNA (497 nucleotides) under uncultured bacterium. RNAcentral describes it as "partial 16S ribosomal RNA". It matches the Rfam family "Bacterial small subunit ribosomal RNA", at positions 28 to 507 of the family's 1533-position model. The record is from RNAcentral.